CCUGUAUUAAUCCAGAAGCGACGGGCAAUUUGUGCAUACAAAAUUAAAAUUUCACUCCUAAUUUUAUUUUUAUAAGAAUUAAUAUUAGGUCCUAUUUAUUCCUUUUGAAUAUUCGUUUAAAUUUUAUUAAUUUAAUGUGUUUCGCUUGCAACCAAAAUUAUAUCUUUUGUCUUGAUUUGUAAUAUUAGCUAAAAAUUUUUUGAAAGUUUCUUUCAAAACUUUCUAUGUACAAUGAUAUAAAAAGUUCUAAAUAAGGUACACUUAAUCGUGGAUUGUCUAUUAAAAAGUAAAACCCCCUAAGAAAUUUUAUACCGCCAUAUCAUUUAGAUUUUUCCUGAAUAGAUACUACCCUAAAUAUUUUAAAA
RNAcentral lists this ribosomal RNA (365 nucleotides) under Epitrimerus sp. GZ20. Its description in RNAcentral is "partial small subunit ribosomal RNA". Lineage: Eukaryota; Metazoa; Arthropoda; Arachnida; Trombidiformes; Eriophyidae. The record is from RNAcentral.